UUGGAGAUAAGGUAAAGUUACAAAAUAAUGAAAUUAUAUCUGCUAUCAGUUGUAGAUUUUUAGUUUCAGGAAAGUAUGUUGCGUUGCAAAUUUGUGAUGACGAAGAUGUUGAAACUAUGAUCAAAAGUUUUCACCAACAAGAUCAAAUGUAAGUUCUGAAAUUGUAUAUAGAAAAGGAUGUGGCUGGUGGUUCUAUGUUUCAUUCUGCAAAUUCUCUUACAUCAUGUGGAAAUAAUUUAUCU
This 242-nucleotide long non-coding RNA is filed under the name Glycine max (soybean). RNAcentral describes it as "long non-coding RNA (GMAX_LNC003978)". Lineage: Eukaryota; Viridiplantae; Streptophyta; Magnoliopsida; Fabales; Fabaceae. The record is from RNAcentral.